AUACUGCCGUGAAUACGUUCCCGGGCCUUGUACACACCGCCCGUCACACCAUGAGAGUUGGGAAUACCCGAAGCCUGUGAGCUAACUUUUAGAGGCAGNAGUCGAAGGUAGAAUCAAUGAUUGGGGUGAAGUCGUAACAAGGUAAC
RNAcentral lists this ribosomal RNA (146 nucleotides) under uncultured bacterium. RNAcentral describes it as "partial 16S ribosomal RNA". It matches the Rfam family "Bacterial small subunit ribosomal RNA", at positions 1354 to 1500 of the family's 1533-position model. The record is from RNAcentral.